GUUGUCACGUUAGGCUCCAGAUGAUCUAGUGUUGUCACGUUAGGCUCCAGAUGAUCUAGUGUUGUCACGUUAGGCUCCAGAUGAUCUAGUGUUGUCACGUUAGGCUCCAGAUGAUCUAGUGUUGUCACACGUUAGGCUCCAGAUGAUCUAGUGUUGUCACACGUUAGGCUCCAGAUGAUCUAGUGUUGUCACACGUUAGGCUCCAGAUGAUCUAGUGUUGUCACGUUAGGCUCCAGAUGAUCUAGUGUUGUCACAUGUUAGGCUCCAGAUGAUCUAGUGUUGUCACACGUUAGGCUCCAGAUGAUCUAGUGUUGUCACGUUAGGCUCCAGAUGAUCUAGUGUUGUCAAAUCUAGUGAAUGCACCAAUUUGUAAGUCGCUCUGGAUAAGAGCGUCUGCUAAAUUACUUAAAUGUUAAAUGUAAAUGUAAUGUGUGCAAGUCCAGAGGACCCCUGGAAUAAGGCGUGCAGGGUCAGAGGACCCCUGGAAUAAGGCGUGCGGGGCCAGAGGACCCCUGGAAUGAGGCGUGCAGGGUCAGAGGACCCCUGGAAUAAGGAGUGCGGGGCCAGAGGACCCCUGGAAUGAGGCGUGCGGGGUCAGAGGACCCCUGGAAUAAGGCAUGCAUGGCCAGAGGACCACUGGAAUAAGGCGUGCAGGGUCAGAGGACCCCUGGAAUAAGGCGUGCAGGGUCAGAGGACCCCUGGAAUAAGGCGUGCAGGGCCAGAGGACCCCUGGAAUAAGGCUUGCAGGGUCAGAGGACGCCUGGAAUAAGACGUGCAAGGUCAGAGGACCCCUGGAAUAAGGCGUGCAGGGUCAGAGGACCACUGGAAUAAGGCGUGCAGGGUCAGAGGACCCCUGGAAUAAGGCUUGCAGGUCCAGAGGACCCCUGGAAUAAGGAGUGCGGGGCCAGAGGACCCCUGGAAUGAGGCGUGCGGGGUCAGAGGACCCCUGGAAUAAGGCUUGCAUGGCCAGAGGACCACUGGAAUAAGGCGUGCAGGGUCAGAGGACCCCUGGAAUAAGGCUUGCAGGUCCAGAGGACCCCUGGAAUAAGACGUGCAGGGUCAGAGGACCCCUGGAAUAAGGUGUGCAGGGUCAAAGGACCCCUGGAAUAAGGCGUGCAGGGCCAGAGGACCACUGGAAUAAGGCAUGCAGGACCAGAGGACCCCUGGAAUAAGGCUUUCCGGGUCAGAGGACCCCUGGAAUAAGGCUUGCAGGGUCAGAGGACCCCUGGAAUAAGGCGUGCAGGGCCAGAGGAUCACUGGAAAAGACGUGCAGGGUCAGAGGACCCCUGGAAUAAGACGUGCAGGGCCAGAGGACCCCUGUGGCAAGGCAGCAGGACUUGACCCCUCACUGUGGAUUCCUUCCUCUUCCAAUUGCCUGAUGUGAUAAUCUGGCCUGGCUGUAAGGGGAGGACCCCUGGAAUAAGGCGUGCAGGGUCAGAGGACCCCUGGAAUAAGGAGUGCGGGGCCAGAGGACCCCUGGAAUGAGGCGUGCGGGGUCAGAGGACCCCUGGAAUAAGGCUUGCAUGGCCAGAGGACCACUGGAAUAAGGCGUGCAGGGUCAGAGGACCCCUGGAAUAAGGCUUGCAGGUCCAGAGGACCCCUGGAAUAAGACGUGCAGGGUCAGAGGACCCCUGGAAUAAGGUGUGCAGGGUCAGAGUACCCCUGGAAUAAGGCGUGCAGGACCAGAGGACCCCUGGAAUAAGGCUUGCAGGGUCAGAGGACCCCUGGAAUAAGGCUUGCAGGGUCAGAGGACCCCUGGAAUAAGGCGUGCAGGGCCAGAGGACCCCUGGAAUAAGGCGUGCAGGGCCAGAGGAUCACUGGAAAAGACGUGCAGGGUCAGAGGACCCCUGGAAUAAGAUGUGCAGGGCCAGAGGACCCCUGUGGCAAGGCAGCAGGACUUGACCCCUCACUGUGGAUUCCUUCCUGUUCCAAUUGCCUGAUGUGAUAAUCUGGCCUGGCUGUAAGGCACCAGUGCACUCCGUAAAUGCUGUAGCCAUAAAAAUAUAAUUACUAGAAUGGACAAAGCCCCUCAGACUGGAUGUCCAUUCGAGUAAUGAUUUUUCUAUGGUUGUAUUUCUGUCUCUGUAGCAUUCUGGUUCUGCCCAUGGACCAUUCCCAUCACAGACUGUUGACUUGAAUGGGAAUGCCCAUUUAAGUCAUUAUAUUAUAUUAUACCGUAUCUGUAGCUCUGUAUCUCUACCAUGGUAUGAACCCUUCUAAGAAGCACUAGCCUGAGCCUUUUUCAGGGAAACCUAAUAAAAAGCAGCUGCAGGAAUCUGAUGUGUCGUCGUCUGGUAACAAACAUCCCCACAUCUGGUUUUAUCAUGGCAGAUGGUCCCCCGUCCUCCUCCUCAUCCCUCCUCCACCUCGUCUUCCUCCUCUCUAACAUUUCAAAAUGGGUUCUUUCUUUCCCAUCAGUUACUUUUUCCACAAUGUGAAAAGUCUCUUUACUUCUUCAGUUUGCUUGUGGAGAAGAAACUCCAAUUGUAUCCAUCCAAACUGUACAAAACAAUCUAAUACCUUCAAACAUUUUUACAUUUUAGUCAUUUAGCAGACGCUCUUAUCCAGAGCAACUUACAGUAGUGAAUGCAUACAUUUCAAACAUUUUUUUUCUUCCCCUUACUGGUCCCCCGUGGGAAUCGAACCCACAACCCUGGCGUUGCAAACACCAUGCUCUACCAACUGAGCCACACAGUUUAUAAGUUACAGGUAUAUAAGUUACAGAUUAACUACCUUAUACUUUAUGGGUAAACUAAAAUAUUAGAUGUUAGACUCAAUCCAUUUUGUCCUCUCUGCAGGCCUAUGUGUAUGGCAUCUGUAGAAAGUUAACAUUUUAGAUAUACCCAUAUGACCCUUGACCCUUAUUCUCCUCUCUGCAGGUGUAACCCCUCAAUUCUUGAGUCUCGCUACUUUGCAGGACUGUUACACACGCGCGCACACACACACACACACACACACACACACACAGAGAGAGAGAGAGACGCACACACAUACAGUCGUGUAAAAUACUUAAAUCGUUUUUUGGGGUGUCUGUACUUUACUUUACAAUUCAGGCGAGUACCCUGUUUAUUGUAGUCUGGCAAUAAAGCAUACAACGUGUUUUCAAGUUAGAAUCAAAGGAUUAUGAAUUGACAUUCCUCCACCUCUGUCUUCGCCAUAAUCAUAAAUGAAAGGAGCAAAUAAUGGCUAUAGUAACACAAUGUGAUCGUAUAGUUUUACAGAGAAUACUUUCAGUACACACAUCACCAGAACCCAUUUUCUAUUUUUUCAGUAACACAACAAAGGCUCAAAAUGAAAAAUCAGAGCUAGGUAGCAUGAUAAAAAAAUUAACAUUUCUAACACUGUAAAUAAAAUACAUCAUACCUGGCAAUAAAGCACAAAAUGUAGGCGUUCAAGUUAGAAUCAGACCAUUAUGAAUUGACAUUCCUCCAGCUCAUGUACAUGAAAAUAUAAUACAGUCAAAACUCUGUCUUGACCGCUUGUGGUAACAUUAGCCAUUUCACACCUCUUUAGCUAGCAAAGUAAACAUUCAGAAUGUUUGUUUAGUGCCAAGUAGUUAGCUAGCAUCACGAUACAAAAUAAAUCAAGAAACUGAUAUAUUAAAUAUCUGAGAUAGUCUGAUCUCCAGUUUGUUCCAUAUACAUUCAUAAGGCACUUCAUACAGUUAGAGGAUUAUGGCAUGUUAUAUCACAAAAACGAGCGGAGCUCAACUUUCUACAUACCGUCUUCGCCAUUAUCAUAAAUGAAAGGAAACUCAAAUAUGGCAACAACGGUGAACUUCACACCAGACCAAUAACAGCUUGAAUAGAGACAUAACAUCUUGGAAGUUAUUCCCAUUAGCCACAGGAAGUAGGGGUGCUGAGGGUGCUGCAGAUGAUCUAGUGAUAAUAAUACAAAAAAGUUAUAAAAAAAAAAAGAAUUGUGCACUGGGCCUUUAAUAGUCCAGUAUUAGCAGACCAAUAUAGCUGUCUGUAGCAAGGUAGAAGUCAGAGCAUGAUGGUAAUACAUUAACCAG
This 4015-nucleotide long non-coding RNA is filed under the name Salmo salar (Atlantic salmon). RNAcentral's name for it is "lncRNA (ENSSSAG00000106757.1)". The stretch from base 357 to 410 matches the Rfam family "UnaL2 LINE 3' element". The record is from RNAcentral. Lineage: Eukaryota; Metazoa; Chordata; Actinopteri; Salmoniformes; Salmonidae.